This 72-nucleotide transfer RNA is filed under the name Ictidomys tridecemlineatus (thirteen-lined ground squirrel). Its description in RNAcentral is "Spermophilus tridecemlineatus (thirteen-lined ground squirrel) tRNA". It matches the Rfam family "tRNA". From Rfam's summary of the family: Transfer RNA (tRNA) molecules are approximately 80 nucleotides in length. Lineage: Eukaryota; Metazoa; Chordata; Mammalia; Rodentia; Sciuridae. The record is from Rfam by way of RNAcentral.
GGGGCUGUAGCUCAGUGGCAGAAUGCUUGCCUAGCAUGCGUGAGGCACUGGGUUCAAUCCUCAGCAGCACCA